Molecule: ribosomal RNA, 460 nt
Filed under: uncultured bacterium
Lineage: Bacteria
Description: partial 16S ribosomal RNA
Rfam family: Bacterial small subunit ribosomal RNA
Source: RNAcentral
CCUACGGGAGGCAGCAGUGAGGAAUAUUGGUCAAUGGACGAGAGUCUGAACCAGCCAAGCAGCGUGAAGGAUGACUGCCCUAUGGGUUGUAAACUUCUUUUAUAAAGGAAUAAAACGAGGCACGUGUGCCUUUUUGCAUGUACUUUAUGAAUAAGGAUCGGCUAACUCCGUGCCAGCAGCCGCGGUAAUACGGAGGAUCCGAGCGUUAUCCGGAUUUAUUGGGUUUAAAGGGAGCGUAGAUGGGUUGUUAAGUCAGUUGUGAAAGUUUGCGGCUCAACCGUAAAAUUGCAAUUGAUACUGGCAGUCUAGAGUACAGUUGAGGUAGGCGGAAUUCGUGGUGUAGCGGUGAAAUGCUUAGAUAUCACGAAGAACCCCGAUUGCGAAGGCAGCUUACUAAACUGUGACUGACAUUGAUGCUCGAAAGUGUGGGUAUCAAACAGGAUUAGAUACCCUAGUAGUC